CAUAGGUCCCGGAGAAGGAGCAGAUUCCAUUGCGGAUGGCGGCAUCGGCGGAGAAGCCAUAUCGGGAACUGAUAAUGGGCUUGGGCUUGGGCCCAUAGGAGUAGUUGGUUGGGCCAUUGGGCUUGAAGAUGGAGUCAUUGGCAUCAUAGGUGGUGGAGUCAUGGGCAUUGGUGGUGGAGCCAUGGGCAUAGGUGGUGGAGUCAUAGGCAUAGGUGGUGGAGCCAUAGGCAUAGGUGGUGGAGUCAUCAUUGGCAUCGGAGAGCUGCGGCCGCUAGACAUCGGCGGCAUCGACAUUGAGCCAGAAGGAGCCAUCAUGGGAGAUUGAGCUAAAGAGAAAUGAAUUAAAACCAUAGGCAAUGUGACCAAAAGGAGGGCUUGUGAAGAGGCCAUGGUUAUGUGUGUUGAAUAGUGGGUGUUAUGUAAAGUGAUAUAUAGAGAGAGGUAUGUGAGUUGUAAAAGAAUGGGAGAGAAAAGUGAAGGUUCUUUGUGCUAUUGGGGAUAUAUAUUAGAGAUUAUUUGUUUUUAUUUUUGGACCGUUGGAUAUAGUGUGUGACACGUAUCAGUCGAUAGAUAGGUAUGAGAUGCUGAUUUAUUUUCCUCCACAUGUUGAAAAAAAAAAAGAGAUAGAAGAAAAUUCCAAAGUGAAAUUUCUUUGUAGGUACAGAUAGAAUAAUCAAUACACAUGAAAAUGGGACUAUUAUGAUUAUAAUGCAUUUUAUUUUCAUUCUUUAGUGGAACCAUCAAUCGGAUUCACGGGUUGGUUUUUAAGGGGGCCAUAUAUCAAAAUUAUUAGGAAUGUCAUUUAAUGGUGUUUGUUAGUCAUUAAUAUGCUAAAACGAUGAAAUUUUGAAAUGUUAGUAGACUUUUAUAACCAAGUCAAGAUAUAAUUUCAUCAGAAAAAAACAAUUUAUAUGGAAAAGGAUAAAAGACCAUAAUGCUAUGGUACAAGAGAAAAGACAAAUAGGGACCAUUUGUGUUGCAUUUGGUCACACAGGCCUAAUAAGCUCCACGGCCAAUAUUAUGUCCGCACCCACUAACCGACAUUUUUGGUUACCCCAUACUCUUUUCUUUUUUCCUCUCACGAGUACUCUUUGUCCCUCAUUUACUAUUUAUCCAUCUUUUAAAUUAUACUUUUUAAAACAAACAUGUAACAUGUUCUAUACAUAUAUAUAUAUACUUUGAUUUCGUUGUUUUAUUGUACAUUUCUUCAGCUCGUUUGAAUUUAACCGUUAUGAUCGUCCCUUGAUCAAAUGUAUUCUCUCAACUCAUUAGUUCAGGAUCCAGGAAAAUUAGAUGAAAUAGACAAAUAGUACAUGCAUCACUUGAAGUAACUAUAAUUACUAUACCGUUAAAGUAGUUGUAUAGAGAUUUCAAUAUUAUAACGUUAGGGCUCUAAAUAUAUGGGCUCAUUAUAAAUGGGCAUGUAGUCGCAUGAGGCCGAAUCCCAGCUGGCAGAGAAAUGAGCGGGAAAUUUUAUGUACAAAAUGCUCGAAACAAUGUCACACGUAGCGCACGUGCCAUUCUCCCGCCCGUUUCUCCAUUUUCCCCAAAUCUCAAAUUCUCAAUCCCUAGUUUCUCUCUCUCCCCAGAUUCACAGCAUUUGCAUUUUGCAAUGUCUGAAGACUCGGAACCGCGUCAACUCGGGAGAUCGACCGCCGGCGGAGAGCUAAUAGGUCUUGGUCUCACUGAGUCAGACGGCGAGGAGCAUUUCUAUCACCAGAAAGCUUUGGAGUUAUGUCGUCACCUACUCUUCGUUGGCCACUCAGAACUAGUUACAGAUCUUUCUUCACAAUGUACACACUUCCAAGCUUCGCCUGAGCUCGUCAAAGUUCUUUGCUCGAUUCCUAAUUCCCCUGUCUCCCUUACCGGAGACGGCUUAUCCGUGACUCUCUCGCGCGAGUUGCUCUCCGAUCCGGCCUGUUUCGCCUGUAGUUUGGGUGUGCCGGAAAAUGUUUUGUUUGAACAGAUUACGCGUUUCUCGGAUCCGAGAGCUCCCAAGCCUAAGCGAAAUGGUCUCGGGCAUAUGGGAGGUACUAACUUAGCACUUGUUUCAUUUUAGUCGUUAUCUGGCAUCUGAUUUUGUUGUUUAGUAGUCACACUUACAUAGAGAUUCUCUUCUUGAUUAUGGAUUAUUAUGAAAAAUUUCAGAAAAUGAGGAGCAAGAAGAGCUGCAGCUCAUGCCAUUGCCCAAAAGAAGCCGAAAGGAGGAACCAGAUGUAAGUAAUCUCUUUUAACAAAAAGAUGAAUUUCUCAAGGUAUAAUUCAAUUUCAAAAAUGGGGAGUUGAUUCAUUGAUUUUUUUUUUUCUAGGUGAAUGACUACUCUGUAAUGGAUAGCAGAGCUAACGACAUGACAAAUAUUGCCAAUGGGUCCAUGCUUGAGACACUGAAAGCUUUUGAAUCCCAAGCUUCGCUUUUAGUUUUAGGUAGAGAUGGUCGAGAAAUAGGAGCAUUUGACCAAAGUCCUUGGUCUGGUCCACGGACUAGAAUUUUUGGAUGCGAGAUUUUCUCCAAUGCUUGUGUGGAUGUCGAUCCUAUGCACUGCUUGGGGGAACGCAAGCAAGAUUCGCCAUCUCCUCGAGAGGUUGGAUACUGUAAGCAAAUUGAGAUUGAAGAUUUUCAAAUUGUUGAUAACCUAAGAUUAUUCGAAGACGAUGAGGAUAAAAACGAGAAGGAUUUGUUCCAUAAGGGGGAGAUACGAACUCCCGAUGUGCAGUCCGAUCCUGCUGCCCCUUCGAUGCCAUCAGAAAAUGAGUUAAAAUCUGUAUAUAUUGUAGAGGACACUGAAGAUAUGCUUGCCUUGAGUUGUAACCCAUUAAAGCAAGAGGACAACGCUGUAGACAUCUUCAGCACCCCUGUCAAAGAGCUGCCUUUGAUGCCUUCUGCAACAAUAGCUAAUCAAGAUAGAUCCUUGGUACAGAAAACACAGGAUCUGUGCAAAUUAUCGGGAAACAGCAAAGGUUACAGCUGUUCCCCUGAGAAAAAACACACCAGGAAAUGUAAAGCUAUCCAGAGGUCAAAGCAGAAUCUUAACUCCGUUCGACCUAAAGAUCAGAAGGUAGACAUUUCUUUUUUAUCUAGAGUGAGCCCCUUGCAAUUCCGUUUUUUUAUUUAUUUAAACAGCUUUCCAUGUUGCUGAAAGUACUUUUAUACCAACAUUGAGGAUUAAUCCACUAUAUUAAGAUUUCUCAUAUCUGUUGUUUAGGAUGAGUCAAAACAGAACACUUUUCCAGUUUUUGAUUCUUACACUAUUGUAGAGGAAGAAGGCUCAGGUACAUUUUCCUUACAAUUUCAUCUAUAUUCCUGAUUUUGUUGAAACAGCUUAAUUGGUUAUCGGCUAAUGAUUGGUGAAAUCCAACUGUAGGUGGCUACGGGAUUGUUUAUAAGGCAAAGAGGAAAACCGAUGGAAAAGAGUUUGCCAUUAAAUGUAUGAAACAGAAUGAUAUGUUGCUAGAUUUUUUCACUUCGUCACAUCGUUUUUGGUUGGCAAUUUGGUCUCAUGUGUUUUCCAUACAGGUCCCCAUGCUGGUGCUCAGAAAUACUAUGUUAAUAAUGAACUCCGAAUGCUGGAGCGUUUUGGGUAAGUAACAAAGUUUGAUCCGCUAAUGAACCUCCUACAUAUUUAAACCCAAAUAUCUGAAAUUGCCUAAAUGUUGGUUCACUUAGGGGGAAAAACUUUAUAAUAAAGUUUGAAGGCUGUCUUAAGAACGGAGAUUCCGAUUGCAUGAUCCUUGAGCACCUUGAACAUGACAGACCUGAUUGUUUGAGGAGAGAAAUAGACGUGUAUCAGCUACAGUUGUACGGAUACUGCAUGUUCAAAGCUCUGUCAAGUCUUCAUAAGCAGGUAAAGCAGAUGUUGGACUAAAACUUUUGAGCAUUCAUAUUUCAAUCACGCAACUAACCAGUUAUAUUGUUUUCUUUUGCAAAUGUGAAGGGUGUUGUUCAUAGGGAUGUUAAGCCAGGCAACUUUCUUUUCUCUAGGAAGAGUAGCAAAGGCUGUCUCAUUGACUUUAACCUCGCCAUGGUUAGCAUUUUUCUGGCACCCUUCUCUUAUUAAUACUUUUCUAGCAACAUUUAUUGGUUAGUGUUUUGUAUAAUAGAAUUUGAGGUUACGAAACCUGUUUAGUGCUCUUAUAUAAUAUUUAGGUCAGUGUCUACUAGAGGCACUGAAAAGCUUGAGCUGAGCUAUCACAAACGUUUGUGUUCAUAGUUUGUGUUAUGUUCCCACCCACUGAUAUUAAUUUCACUUUCCUCUGUGGCUUAAUUUAGGAUUUGCACCAGAAGCACAGGAGAGCCGGUAAACUUCUCCCCUCAUGCAUUUGGGUUGAAUUAAGUAAAACAAAUGGAAACUAAAGCUAUCCCUUAUAUGUAUAUCAGAUAAAUCAAAAGCAGCUACAGAUCUCCCAACCGCCAGCAAGAAGCAUCAUACUUUGAUUAAAUCUCCUGACACGACCAACCGAGUGACCAACAAAUCUUCUCAGAAAACUUUAGCGCCAAAUAGUCUGAAGAAAGCAGCGGGAAAGAUAAGAGCUCAGACUGACAUGAGUAGAUGGGAGAGGUUCAAUAGCCAAGGCGCGGAAGGGUCUGGCUUAACUUCGGCCAAAGAUGUGACCAGCACAAGGAACCACCCUUCAGGUGAAAAGAGGAGAGAGCCUUUGCCAUGUCAUGGAAGGAAAGAGCUUCUAAACUUUCUGCAAGAGACAAUGUCUGGUUCAAUUCCAAACCACGAAGUAUCAUCCAAAGCUCCUACAUCUAUGAGAAAACGUGUUGCUGCUCAUCCAGGGAAAGCUGAGAAACAGCUUCUUCAUCUGACCCCAAUGCCGCUGCGCUCUAAUGGUCGGCGUGAAGCAGGUGGAUUCCUGGUGUAUAAUUUGACUCUUGUUUUUUGUUUCAGAGUUUAACUUUAACCCUAAGAAAAAAAUCUGACUUACUAGGGGAUGUAAGUAAGAAGAAAGAUGGUCCUUGCUCAGGAACGAAAGGCUACCGAGCACCAGAGGUACGUCAACUGUAACUAUCGCUCACUUUGCUUAUAUGGUAGAGAGAGAGAAUGUUAGUGGGUUUAGGCUUCCGAGUUACUAGUAAAUCCAUUUAUAUAUCAUACAAAUCUUAUGCUUUGAGCUACUUAUUAGAACAUUUUAUGAUGGGAAAGCUAAUUCUCUGGGGCGGUUCUUGGCUGAAUUGGCUUGUGCAGGUUUGCUUAAGAUCUUUGCACCAAGGACCUAAGAUCGACGUGUGGUCUGCAGGAGUUACUCUAUUAUAUCUAAUGAUGGGAAAAACACCUUUUACUGGUGACCCUGAACAGUUAAGAUUUGUAAUUGACUUACUUUGCCAUCACUUCAUUGCAUUCUGUUUUCUUUCUUUCCUUCUUACAACGGCCUCUUGAUUCUCAGGAACAUAAAGGACAUUGCGCAGCUACGAGGCAGUGAAGAAUUAUGGGAAGUAGCCAAGCUGCAUAACCGUGAAUCUUCUUUCCCUGAGGUAAUAAUCGCACCUUAUCACCCUUGUAGACUCUUCUUUGCAUCGAUUGCUGCAUUUGUGUGGCAUAAUAUGGCUAUGUACACAUGGUCGGUUCUUAAAUCUAGAGAAAGAGAAGGUUGAUCUGGCUAAUAUCGCAUGCUCUGUUCUCCUUUACCGCCAGCAUUUGGAUUUAAAUAUCAAAUACUGUAAGAGGGUUUUCAGUUAUAGCGCUUUGGGUCCUAUUGCGGAAAACGGGGUAUAUAUUAUUAUAUACAUUACAUGAUCUGAUACGUUGUAUGGAUAGAUGAUAAAAAAGAGAUGAAUUCACGUAGCAAUUUUGUUUUUGCUCCAGGAAUUAUACGAGUCAAGGUACUUGAAGAGGAUGGAGCUGAGAAAAUGGUGCGAAAUCAACACAAAACGCAGAGACUUCCUAGACGUGAUUCCACGGUCGCUGCUUGACCUUGUUGAUAAGUGUUUGACUGUUAACCCAAGGCUACGAAUCGGCGCAGAGGAUGCUCUCAAGCACGACUUCUUUUAUACAAUCCAUGAAAAUGAAACCCUUAGAAAACAAAGGCUCCUAAAGCAGCAGCAAACGGGAACGCAGCCUCCAGUGGUGGCUAAUUCAGUAGGCCAACCGCUAAGCUAGAAAUCACAAAUGUAAAUUAAGUAAUAACAAAAUAUUAUAUGAAAGCUUCACUCCACAGGCCACACCACAAAUCCCAUAGUAGUAUAUGUCUAUAUGACUAGGGAACAUAUCAUAUUUGUUAUUAGAAGCAAGUCUAACUUCACUUGGGCCUUAAAUAAAUUUCGUGUUGGGAAUUGAUAUCAUUCAGUAAAAGUCCAAAAGUCUCUCGUCUGCGAAAUGGAAGAGAGUAAUGUCAAGUUUGUUUCUCACAGACUCACCCUAUGAAUUGCCGUGCAGCGUACGGAUCUUCUUAUUUUCUCUCAAUCUCUUCCUGUGACAGGAUUCUUCAUCACUAAUCUGCAACGAAUACUGGUUCACUUCCAUGGCGUCUUCUUCUUCUCGUUCCUGGAGAUACGAUGUUUUCCCGAGUUUCAGCGGUGAAGUUGUCCGCAAAUCAUUCCUCAGCCAUCUUCUGAAGGAGCUUGACCGCAAAUCAAUCAAUGCAUUUAUAGAUGAUGGGAUCGAGAGAAGCCGCCCGAUCGGCCCUGAGCUUUUAUCGGCGAUUAGAGAAUCGAGGAUCUCAAUCGUCGUCUUCUCAAAGAGUUAUGCUUCUUCCACGUGGUACCUGAAUGAAUUGGUGGAUGGAGAUCCACAAGUGCUAUAUGGAGUUUGACCAAAUGGUGAUUCCACAGCGUUGACCCUUCGGAAGUUCGAAAACAUACCGGAGAAUUUGGAAAGGUGUUUAAAGAGACAUGCGACGGCAAAACGGAGGAUCAGAAGCAAAGGUGGAUGCAAGCUCUCGUAGAUGUAGCAAAUAUGGCCGGAGAGGAUCUUCGGAACUGGUAUAAACUAUAAACCUUGUGUUAUCAUUCCAUAGUUCGUGUCGUGCAUUGACUUCGAUUGUGCUUUUAGGGCAGCUCUUUAAUGUCACAAUUUGUUAUUAGGUGUAACGAAGCCAGCAUGAUUGAAAAGAUAGCCGAUGAUGUUUCGAAUAAACUUAUCACAACAUCGGAUUGUUAUGGCGAUUUGGUGGGGAUUGAAGCUCAUUUAGAAGCAAUGAGCUCAAUAUUGUGCUUGGAAUCCGAGGAAGCUAGAAUGGUAGGGAUUUUGGGGCCUUCUGGGAUUGGUAAGAGUACCAUAGGAAGAGCUCUUUUCAGUCAACUCGCUAGCCAAUUCCAACUUUUGUAACUUAUAAAAGAACCAACCAGGAUGACUACGGCAUGAAGUUGUGUUGGGAAGAAAAUUUUUUAUCAGAGAUUCUUGGUCAAAAGGACUUGCAGAUAUACCAAUUAGGUGCGGUGGAGCAACGGUUAAAACUCAAGAAAGUUCUCAUUGUUCUUGACGAUGUUGAUGAUAUAGAGCUCCUAAAAACCUUGGUUGGGCAAACGGAAUGGUUUGGAUCCGGGAGCAGAAUUAUUGUGAUCACUCAAGAUAGGCAACUUCUUAAGGCUCAUGAGAUUGACCUUAUAUAUGAGGUGAAGUUCCCAUCUCAAGAUUCUGCUCUCAAGAUGUUAUGCCAAUCUGCAUUUCGGCAAAACUCUCCACCUAAUGGUUUAAUGGAAUUGACAGUUGAAGCUGCCAAGCUUGCCGGUAACCUUCCUUUGUGUCUCAGUGUCUUGGGUUCGUCUUUAAGAAGAAAGGACAAAAAAGAGUGGGAGGAGAUGCUGCCUAGACUCCAAAAUGGUUUGGACGGGAAGAUUGAGAAAAUAUUAAGAGUCGGCUACGAUAGAUUAGAUGGCAAAGACCAAGAGUUAUUUCUCUUCAUUGCAUUUGCAGGUUUAUUCAAUGGUUUGCAAGUCAGUUACAUCAGAUUAAAUGAUGUCAUUGAUGUGACAAUCAGUGUCAGUGACAUCAAAUGCUUGCUCGGAGAUGGUGUUACCACUGGGCUUACAGUGUUGACUGAUAAGUCCCUCAUACGUAUAACACCGCACGAAACUAUAGAGAUGCACAAUUCGCUACAGAAGUUGGCUAGAGAAAUUGGUCGUGCAGAGUCUAUAAACAAUCCUGGAAAACGACGAUAUCUGGUGGAUGUUGAGGACAUUUGCGAUGUUUUUACGGAUAAAACCGUAAGUUUUCUCGCAUAUGCUUUUAAUGCUCGGCUUUAUAAAAUUUAAGCGUUAUUUGGUGAUUGAUAGAUAAACUUUUACGAUUGUUCCCACCUGCUUUAUUUGAGCGCGGGGCUCAGAUGUCAUAAGGAGAAAAAAAAAAUCUCGCCUGCCAUAAAUCAUUGUGUAUUGACGUUUUUAGCCUUAAUGAACUGAUUAUAAAAUUAAAUAAAAUCGUUUAUUUUUAAAAAUAAAAAUAAAAGCUGCAAAUAAGCUUCUUCUUCCCCGAGUUAGGUUUCCGUACACAUCCGCCGCCGCCGCAGAGAGCUUGAUUCGAACCACCGUCGUUUGCUGGUGCCGGCUCAUUUUUUUUGUUUAACUACUCUUUCUUAUCCUGCCAUUUGUGUGAGAAGACUUCGAAAAGGUAUGGUGGUGUGUAUUUUGGAGAUUUAUAAAUUAGAGUUUUUUUUUGUUUGUUUGGUGGUCGUUUAACUAUGUACAUUGCCUAAGUUUGUUGUUUAUUGGUUAAGUUCUCUUCGAAUCGAUGUUAAUUUGUCGAUUUUUAGUGUUGAAUCUGUUUGGUAGAUGUGAAACGAGGAUGUGAAACCAAAGAUUUUAGCCAAGAAAGUUUGGGAAUUUAGAUAACUGGUACAAAAGGUAUAAGUAAAAGAUACGGGACAAGUAGUACAAAUGGUAGAACUGAUAAUUAUGGGACAACUAGUACAAGUCUCUGUUAAGACUGAUAAUGUGGGACAACUAGUACAAAUGUUAUAGUGAGAAAUUCGGGACAACUAGUAUAAAAGGUAUAACUGUGAAACGUAAUUGGUAAUAUUAUUUUUUAUUUGCUGCGUAUACCAGGAUAUAAUGAGCAUUGGCCACACCAACAUAAAUUUUGAGUAUGGAGGAUAUUAUUCACGGAACAAACGACCAACAGGUGUAACCCAGGAGUUUAGUUCAGGAACAAACGACCAACAGGUGUAACCCACGAAGAACUGGACAACUGUGUUUUUUUCAUCUAAUCAUGUUUUAGGACAUCUAGACAGCUAUGUACGUAUGUUGUCAUUUUCAUUUUUUUCAUAUGUUUAGAUAUCGGGAAAACUGGACAACUAUUACAACUAUGUUGUAUUUGUGAAGUACAAUUGACGUUUCAUAUGUUUGAAAUUGGGACAACUGGACAACUAGUACAAUUAUGUUGUAUUUGUGAGGUACAAUUGACGAAUCAUAUGUUUGAAAUUGGGACAACUGGACAACUAGUACAACUAUGUUGUAUUUGUGAGGUACAAUUGACGAAUCAUAUGUUUGAAAUUGGGACAACUGGACAACUAGUACAACUAUGUUGUAAUCAUAUGUUUGAAAUUGGGACAACUAGACAACUAGUACAACUAUGUUGUAUUUGUGAUGUACAAUUGACGAAUCAUAUGUUUGAAAUUGGGAUAACUGGACAACUAGUACAACUAUGUUGUAUUUGUGAUGUACAAUUGACGAAUCAUAUGUUUGAAAUUGGGACAACUAGUACAACUAUGUUGUAUUUUUGAUGUACAAGUGACGAAUCAUUUGUUGGAAAUUGGGACAACUGGACAACUAGUACAACUAUGUUGGAUUUGUGAUGUACAAUUGACGUUUCAUAUGUAUGAAAUUGGGGUUUAGUACAAACCCUAGACAACUAUGAAAGACAUCUAAAAUGAGGUUUUAAAGAAGCUUCAGAAAAUGGGAUAACAAAUUAUAAGUUUAGAGUCAUAAUAUUGGUUUGACACUAAACACUCCUUAUAAAACAAGAGAGUCUUCACUAAUACUCAUCACAUGAUGAUGGAUAAAUGCAAAUGUUUGGAUUUAAUCAAAACGGAUUAAUCAGGACUUUUUAAUUGUGGUAUGAAACUUCAAACAAAUAUGAACAACUACAAUAUGUGGUAUAUGGUCAUGGGUCAACUGGAAAUAUUUGAAAAAGCUUAAAGUACAACUCUUACAAAUAUUGGACAACAAUACAAGUACGUACAACUAUAUGAUAACCCUUAUCAUAUUAUAUUUGCACGUGAAGCACAUGUGUUUACUAUGGCGGCAAAAUAAUUAAAUAGUUUUUAAAAUCUCUUUUCUUUAAAUUGUUCUUCCUCAUAUUCUACUGAGAACUUCCUCCUUUUUUAGGGUUUCAGCCGCAGAGCAAUUUCACAAGAUUAAGAUAAUGUCGAAGAAGAAAUCUUCCUAAAAAAGACUGCCUUUCCGCCGAAGGAUUACGGCAUGACCACCAGGUGGGGGCCCGAAGUUAAUGGAGUCCGCACCAUUCUUCCAUGUCCCAUACAGAUGGGAAUUCCCAAGGUUUGCCACCACGGAAUUGCUCCAAUUGGCUGUUUAACCAACCAUUCAGCGUUAGAUAGGGGACGUAGGUACUUUGGUUGUUUUUAUGGUUGCCAUAGUUGAAGAGAUUAAAAUGGUAAAAGAAACUCAAGAGGAGAUGAAGUCUUUGUUUGAUGUCAUUAUCUCGAGAAUUGAAGCUCUUGAGGCUGCUGUGACCAAGAAGAGUUGCUCGAAGGAAGUUUGAAGCUCAAGAUCGUUUGUUGAACCUUGUCCUACAUCGUUGUCUUUGUUUCUUGAACCUUGUUGUCCUUUAUUGUCCUACAUCGUUUAACUAUGUUGUCCUUUAUUGAACUACAUUGUUAUCCUUUACUGAACUACUUUGUUGAACCUUGUUGUCCUUUAUUGUACUAAUUUGUUGAACCUUGUUGUCUUUUAUUGUCCUACAUCGUUUAACUUUGUUGUCCUGUAUUGAACUAUUUUGUUGAACCUUGUUGUCCUUUAUUGUCCUACACCGUUUAACCUUGUUGUUCUUUAUUGUCCUAAAUCCCAAAGAAUUGACCAUUAUUGUCCUAAUAUGUCCCAAAUCCAAACAAAUGUCCAAAUUCGAAUAUCAAACAUAAAAUCCACAACAUAAACUAAACAUCCGCAAACAACAUAACCUGUAACUUAAAAGAAAAACAUAACAUCCAGAAAACAAGAUAAACUGCAACAUCCGACACUUCUACUUCGAUAACAUCCAGUCUUCUGCUCUUGUUCUUCACCCUCCUGCUCUUGUUCUUCAGCCUCAUCCUCUUUUUCAUCAGCCUCCUGCUCUUGUUCUUCGGCCUCCUGCUCUUCUUCUUCAGCCUCAUCAUUUCCCUCCUCUUGUUCAUCAGCCUCUUCAUUUCUCGAAUCUUGUUCAUCACCCUCCUCCUUUCCCUCCUCUUCUUCAUCACCCUCCUCCUUUCCCUCCUCUUCUUCUUCACCCUCCUUUCCCUCCUCUUCUUCUUUGCCCUCCUCCUUUCCAUCGUCUGCUUCAUCACCCUCAGCCUCGUCUUCUUCUUCCAUGGGGUUUAUCGUUUCGGUUUCAUCUUCUGUGGGGAUUUUUUGGGCUGCGGUCUCCUCGAUAGGAUUCGGAGAGGUUUCUUUCUCCAUUUCUGUUUCUGAACUACAAACAUCUUCGCUUGUCUUUGUCGCGGCUUCGGUGGGAAUAGGGUUUACAACGGCUUGAGGAAUAUUUCCUUUCUCUUUAUCGGCGGCUUCAGGAUUUACUUCAGAUUCUCUCGCUGCGGCUUGAGAAUGCGAUUCCGUUUUAGGCAACGUUUUCCGACUUUCAGUUGACUCAUACUCGACGCCUUUUUGUUUCACACGAGUCAUGGAGAAGUCGUAACGAACCGAAGAUGGAGAAAUCGAUUAAAACGGAAGUUGUAGAUGGUGGAGUGGAAAUAAAACGAACGCAAUCGGUUAGCUUCUAUCAACACUCGCCGGAUUUUACGCCGGAAAACUCUCUCAAAUCUUUUUUCGAAUUUCAAUUAACUGUGUGGAGGUUUUUUUCCAAGAACUGAUAAAAUGGUAAAGUAAAUUAGGGUAAAUAAAAAGAAAUGCGAGUCGAAUCCGAUUUUAAUUGGGUAGGUUUUCAAAUGCCCAGAUAUUGUUGUAAUUAACGAGACAUUCAUGUAUAAGGUAAUAAACAACCAUCUUUUUGCUAUUUAAAAAAAAUUAAAAAGGAAUUGAUUAUACGAACGAUGGCAUUGGGGCUCUUUCUUCAGCGAUUUAUGGCAUUUUAGCAUUUGAUUCGCUUUAUUUUAACACUGUUACAAUUGUUUUUUUUUUCCUGUUAACUAACAGUUACAAUUGUUAAGAUAAUAGUUUUCGUGUGAUUUUUUUUUUCAGGGCACAGAAGCUGUAGUAGGAAUAUAUUUCGACACAUUAGAAAUCAAAGAGCCAUUUUCAAUAGAUGAAAAAUCGUUCGAAGGCAUGCGUAAUCUCCAAUUUCUAAUAGUUCGAGGGUCUCCACGGGGUAGAUUGCGUCUACCUCAAGACCUCGUUUAUUUACCCCGUAAACUCAUAUUGCUAAAGUGGGAUGGUUAUCCAUCCAAGUGUUUGCCUUGAACUCAGAAUGGAGAAUAGUUUGCUUGAGAAGCUGUGGGAAGGAAUUCAGGUACUAUAGUUUUAAAUUUAUUUCUAAGUUUCAUACGGUGUUACUAUUAGAACAAAUAACGGUCUUAUUUUUCUAUAUAUAUUGUUGUUAAAAGUUUAUAGAAUAUGUGUUCAAAAUGAUUUUGAACCUGUGCAUUUAUUUUUAUUUUCCUGUUUGUUUUCAGCCACUUGGAAGCCUCAAGCAAUUGAUUAUGAAUUGGUCCACAUAUUUGAGAGAACUUCCAGAUCUCUCUAAGGCCAUAAACCUCGAGAAAGUGUAUCUUGAUGGAUGCAAAUCUUUGGUGACAUUUCCUUCCUCGAUUCAGAAUCUCCUGAAACUGAGAGAUUUACAUUUGGAAAAUUGCACAGAGCUAGAAAGUUUUCCAACUCUUGUCAACUUGAAAUCUCUCGAGUACCUCAAUCUCCGAGGAUGCUCCCGGUUGAGAAAUUUCCCUCAGAUUUAUAUGGACAGUUCACAUGGAAUUAGCAUCGAAGUAAAAGACUGUUUCUGGAACAACAAUCUCCCUGGACCCGAUUAUCUCGGUGGCCUUAUGAGAUGUAUGCCUUGUAAAUAUCGACCAGAACAUCUCGUUCGUCUUACAGUGAAAGGCAACAUGCUUGAGAAGCUAUGGGAAGGCGUCCAGGUACAUUGUUAAUGUUUGAAUGUCAUAUGAUUGAAACAUAACAAAAUGUUUGGUUGUUCUGUUUCAGUCGCUUGGAAGUCUCGUGAGGAUGAAUCUGUCAGGAUCUGUAAACCUGAAUGAAUUUCCAGAUCUUUCAAAGGCCACCAAUCUGGAGCGUUUAGAACUCAACUAUUGCCAUAAUUUGGUGACUGUUCCUUGUACAAUUGAGAAUCUCAAGAAAUUGGUAAAGUUGGAAAUGAAAGGAUGCAUAAGGCUGGAGGCUCUUCCAACCGAUGUCAACUUGUCAUCUCUCGAAACCCUCGAUCUCAGUUGGUGCUCAAGUUUGACAAGUUUUCCUCAAAUUUCAUGGAGUGUGAAAAAACUCUAUCUAAAUGACACUGCCAUUGAACAAGUUCCCUGCUGUAUAGAGAAAUUCUGGAGGCUCCUUGAACUAACGAUGUGUCGUUGCAAGAGGUUGAAAAACAUCUCCCCAAACAUUUUCAGUCUGAGCCGUCUUGUGAAGGCAGACUUUUCAGACUGUGAAGGAGUAGAGACGGCAUUGAGUGAUGCAACUCCAGUGGCAACAAUGUCAACGGAGGAUCAAAUUCCUUCUAUACCAUUACACACAAAUGCCUAUAGAAGGGAAUAUUUUGAGUUCAAUAAUUGCUUCAAAUUGGAUAGAAAUGCGCGGGCACUCAUCCUACGAUCAUACGUGGCGCCUACAGUCUUACCAGGUGAAGAAGUGCCUGCGUAUUUCACGGAACAAGCUUCUGGAACUACCGUAGCUGUCAAGUUACCUCAGAGCUUUCUUUCUCAAGAACACCUCGCAAUUAAGGCUUGCGUCGUGGUCGGCAAGGGUUCGCAUUCAUACUUAGGGUUACGCUGGCACUUCAGAGGCGAAGAGCAUUGGGACACAAUAUUUGAAAAUCUGCCGGGGUCUUUUAAGAGGGAUCAUCUGGUUUUGCUUUCCUUCAAGUUCCGGCCUUCACUUCGUUUGGGUUUGAGUGACUUGAGUCCAACUAAUUUUCACUUCGACGAUGUUGAGUUUGAGUCUUCCACCAUCAACCCAUCCUCUGGCACCUUCUCACCGUCGGUCCAGAGGAUAACAGGAUGUGGUAUAAGAUUCUUGAAUCGGUCUACUACACGUCGUCGUCUAUCUAAAUUGGACUACUACUACAACGAUGUUGUCUCUGAGUUCUUCUUCAACCGAACAUUAAGAGAGGAUGCUGAGUACUUCUCUGGAAGAUGAAUCUGAUGAUGGAAGCUCUGGAACAGAGUACAACCAAAAAUCUAUACAAAGUUGUUAUCAAGAAAACAAUCUGUACAAAAUGUGAUGUUGUAGGGAUUGUGAGAAGAAAGAACGGAUGCGGGUAAAGCUUUUUGAACUCAAAAUUAUAAGGGUAUCUCUUGAUCUUUUUUUUCAGGAUCAAUAUCAUAGGUCCAUAGGGAUGAACUAUUUAAUAGACUAGAUCGUUUGGUUUUAUUAUGUAGAUUACAUUAAAAGAAUACAUGUGGGAUGUGGCGAUAAAGUAGCGGACACAGGUAUUGACGCCUCCAAAUAUAGAAUUUCUUCUACAAGUAAGAUACCGUUAGUUUCUUCUAGCAACUUUCAUGUCCAUGGAGCAUCCCUGUAUCUAUCCCUUUCUCCUUCUAUUCCAUGUCUGGAGGGGCAAGUUUUGUCUGUUGAUCCCCGAGAUAACUGAACAACUAGAUAUAUACAGAAACACUCACCGUGGAUCCUUUGUCGCACCCAGAGCUUACCAACUUUUUUUUACGGUAAGUGAAACAUCUUACAGUUCUGUUUUGUUCUAUAACAUCUUGCGAAUUGCGAUCGACCGUGGCUAUGCUGAUCUUGCCAAGACGUUUUCGUAGUUUUUUACGCAAUCCAUUUUUCCCUGCAGGUGAUGGUGAACUUCUCGAGAACCAGAACCUGUUUACGCACUCUAUUCUUACUUCUUUGUGUUACUGUUUCCCUCUUUGAGAAUUUCGCUUUUCAUGAAAGAAUAAACAUCUUUCAAAUAGCCACAAUUCAGCACAUUCUGGAAAAUUUUCUUUAGCAGGUUUUGUUUUGUACCAUAAAUCUAUCGGUUUUUAGUUGGAAAUUCGUUGAAUUUGUGAGCUUGGGUUUUACAUACUUGACUCGGGUAGUUUUUCUUUCCUUCUAACAAAGCAAUGAAUAAAUCAGGAUUUGGCCAAACUAAAAAUGUAUAAAAAAAAAUUCACUAGUUCUAAAUGGCAAGACCCUCUUCAUCAUCAGCAACAUUUGGAUCGCUGUUUCCAUGACGUUUCCUACACUCGCAGUAAAAAACAGUGACUACAACAUAACUCAGCACCACCUCAGCACCAUACAUACAAAUCAACUUCCACCCGUCUAAGCCACCGCUCACCACCACCGACCUCCACCACGACCCUGAGCUCGAGUCUACAUCUAGCUCCUUGGCCAGCUUCUCCAUCCCAUGACCAAUGAAACUCGAAAGAAACACAAAUACACCCGCCAAAGCCAAUCCAGUUAUCCUCCUCCCUUUCAUCAGAGAAUUUCCUUCCUUAAUCGCAUCAAAACCGUAUCUUUCUUCUAUCACAGAGACGACAAGGCCAAGCCCUGUUAUAGCCAUUAUGUAUACCUCAACGCCGAGACUGAGAACCGUGAUGAGGUAACGCAAUGUGGGUGUAUAACCCAAGAGAGCUGAUAGAAACAUGGGAAUCGGAGAGUAGAGGAAGAGCAGACCAUAGACAACAAUGGAAGUUGCAGUUACUCGCAUCCACGAGGACUUCACUGAUGCAAACGAUGACUUCAGAGACGUGUUUAGGCCGUUGUGUGAGAAGGAAGUUGAUGUGAUGACGGUUAUGGAUGCGAUACAGGAGAGGAUGAAGGACGGGACGAAAUAUCUGGAUUUGAGGUGUAGAAGCGAGACAGCGUCUUCUCUAGACUCUUGCCAGAUCUGUCUAGCUUCGAACCUUGUGUGCACGACGUUGGCCAGGGCUUCUAGACGGAAGACAUGGUUUUUAAGACGAAAGGAGGAGAGAGUUAGGGAGAGGUGUAAGGCUGCGAGAGGGAUUGCUACAAAGGCAAAGACUGGGAAUAAUAUGUGUUUGUUUCUCAAGAGAAUCAUGAAGGAGUCUAGGAGUGUUGUGGUGAUCCGCGUGGAAGAACCAGGUCGCUUUACUUCAAUCAUGAUAUCAAAAGGCACAUAGAAGCCUGCUGCUUAAAGCUUCAACCAAUGUUGGGACAACUCGAAACAGAGUAGAUACACUAUGCUUCUAGAGAAUGUCUUGUAUGAGGCCUGUGUAAACAAGAAAGCACAAAGCUUUUAGCAACUCAGAGAAUCAAUACAAGACUAAGUGCAUUGCAAAACCACAGUUUUCUCAGCAAAAAGAAUCACACUUAUCAGGUGGAAAUCACAGUUCCAUAUGAAAGAAUGACACUUUUAGCGAUUAUUCUAAUGACACUUAAACAAGGUUUGGUUCAAACAACAACUCCAGAGAUCAUACAUAGUUGACCGAAAUGUUAAGACUUUUUCUACACACCCCGGAGUUUUCGGAGUUCCAACAAGUUCGAGUUCAUUGAAGAAUAUAAACCAUAAUAUGAGUACGAAUUGAUGCUAUGUCGUCAAAUUAGAUCAAAUUCUGUGAUCUUGUGGACCAAACGUGUAUGAAGAAAUCAAACAAUCGACCGAGAUCAACUAGAAAUAACGAAUCCAGAACUAGAUUCUAUUUCCCAAACAACAGUCUCUAGAAAAAGGGUGAAUUUCGAUUCCCGAUCUAAAACUUGACGACUAAAUCCCAACUUUUAACAUUAGAACGGAAACAAUUAGGUUUAAUCCAAUCUUUUUUGCUUGAUUACGGUCUAUCUGAGAUCGAGACAAACCUGAAAGAUGCGAAAACACCGAUUGGUGUAAGAGGAAAUCCGAAGAAGUAUUGCUUGGAAGGAGAAUUCAUUGAUUUGAGAGACAGAACAAGUCAAUAAGCUUUGGGUUUUAAAGUUUAACCACUGUUUUAUAACUCAGUAAUUCUGUCCUUUGCGAAAAAAAAAGAAAAAAAAAACUCAGUAAUUCUGUCCUGAUUUGGGACAAUUUUGGAUGCCAAUUGCUUUUAUAAUGUUUUCGACCAAUAGAGUUACUUUACUAUUGGAUUACUAAUUAAUCAUUACUUAAUAAUGUUUUUUUGGUUAAUUGAGUUGUGAUGUUGAAUUAGUUAUUUAUCCACUAGAAAUUUCACAUUUUUUUAGUUUUUUUUAAUCAAAGACUCUAGAGUGAGGUAUCAAACAACAUUUUAUUGUAAAAUAUCAAAAUAGACAACUUUUUCAGACAAUCCUCUAUGAGGCUAUGAUUAUGAAUGUGUGUGACUGCGUGUAAUGAAAAAAAAAAACAAAAUACAGUAUACGAGGUAUAAAAAGAAAGAAUUGUCUCGACAACACAACAAAGAGUUUGCUUGCGGCACCAAAUCAUUGGAGUCUUCUUGGUAGUGAAAAGUUGUUUCCUUUCCCCAAAACUGAUUCAACCCGCAAAUGUGUUCCCUUCUCAUUGGAGCCAACAUUUUGCUUCUUGAACUCAGCUUCUUAACGCUGCUGACAAAUUCCAAAUCCAUCUCCGGUUUAGUAUUGUGACUAUUACUUGAGCAAAUCGAAACCGCAAUUGAACACAAGAUUCUAACAUUGCAGAGACAACUCAAUGCUCAUAUCCAGCAAGGUCUUUGGUAAUUCCUAAGUUUCACAAACCAAUGGAUUCAUAGACUGAGAGUCAAUUUCUGCAUCUAUAGAUGAAAUCGAAAACCAUCAAAAAAAUCAACCAAGAUGGUUUUUUCCAAUUUCCUCGGUUUACCUGAAUGAGAGAAGAGCCAGAGGAUUACGCCGCAGAGAAGAAGAAUGAGAGGAAUGAAAUGGAUGACGUUUUCUGCAGAUCUGAAUCGGGACUUCUCUCUCUUCCCCGGUUGAGAAUUCGGGUCGUACCUUGGCAAAAGCAGCUCCACAUCAUCUUCCAUAGCUGUAACGCUCUGAGAUCGAGGCGGAGACAGUGACGGCGUUGAAAGAUUCGCCGGAAACUGAUCCGAAACUCUUGAGCCACUUGCUGAUCUACGCAUCUCUCUCUCCCUAACGUAACUUCUCAAGUCAAAGGUCGAAACUUUUUUCACACAAUAACGCAUAUAAAUACUGUCGUCACGUCAGAUUUGACCAAUAGAGAAGAGUCAAAGCUCUUCUCUUUUUCACCAGUAAUCGCCACAAGAACAAGACCCAUCUUUGAAAUGGUGAAACCUUGUGGUGUCUCUCACCAUGAUCUCUCGUCUCUCUAUCUCCGAGAUAAAUUUGAUUGCUUUAUGGCAAUCACCACAGAUUCUCAGGUUCUUGAAAACUUGUAUCCGUGAACCUUCAGGGAGUUUUAAGCACCCAAAAGCAACAGCUAACUUCUCGCUAUGCCAUAACAAUAGUUUCUUUUUCUGCUCUUCCUCUACAUCGUGUAAAUCAAACUCCAGCUCUGGUAUGUAUCCAGCCAGCUCCAUCUUUUUCUCCAACUCCUUCAGUUUCUUGUGUAUUGACUCUAAUUCCGGGUGGAUCCGAUCACUUGAUCUGAAAUGGUGAACCUUGUUUCGAAUCUCGAUCCAACUGUAUCCUGGUACCUGAAACAAUCGAUUGAACACAUAAAAAGUCUUGUAAAGCGAAUAAAUAAUCACACCUUUUGCAAUCACCAUACCUUCACAACAUUGCUCUGCUUCAUUCUCUUACGAACCCUUGCAACGUCCUCCCAACGACUCAUCGAUGCGUAGAUAUUCGCGAGCUGCACAUACCCAGCUGCAUUACUCGGGUCAAGCUCAAGCAGCUUCUCGGCUGCGAAUUCAGCCAAUUCCACAUUCUUAUGCACCCUACAAGCCCCUAAGAGCGUCCCAAAGACUGCAGCGUGUGGUCUAAACGGCAUCGAUCGUAUCAGUUUCAACGCCUCGUCCAGCUUCCCAGCCCGACUCAGAAGAUCAACCAUACACGUGUAGUGAUCAGGCCGCGGUUCUACCCUGUAAUCUCUCACCAUCGACUCGAAAUGCUGCAUCCCAGUAUCCACUAAUCCAGAAUGGUUGCAAGCUAGCAAAACCGCUACAAACGUUAUCCAAUCCGGUCUGAUAUUGUCAUCUCUCAUCUCACUGAACAAACGCAGAGCCUUUUCUGCUCUACCAUGCUGUGCAUACCCGCAUAUCAUCGCGUUCCACGCGACGACAUCUUUCUUCCUCAUACCCUGAAAGAGCUUCCAGGCAUCACCAAGUUCACCACAUUUGCAGUACAUACUGAUCAGCGACGUCAAUGCGGUUAUCUCACUACACAAUAUAGAUUUACACACUAUCUGAUGGAUCUGCCUCCCUAACCGUAACGCAGAUAACUCGCUGCAUCCAAGCAAUACGCUGCUUAGACCUGACGGGUUAGGCCUAAUUCCAUCAAAAAGCAUUACUUUGAAAAGCUUCAAUCCAUCUCCUGGCCGAGAAUUUUCGACAUAACCAGAGAUCAUAGCAUUCCAUGUAACGAGAUUUUUCUUCACAGUCAUGUCUUUGAACACUGCCUCAGCUAAUUCAACCUUCUUGGCUUUCAUGUACCCUGUGAUCAUCGCCGUCCAGGCCACCACUCCUCUAACAGGAGCCGCUUUGAAGAAACGUGAUGCCAUUUCCAAAUCUCCGCAUUCUACGUAACCAGAGAUCAUCGCGUUCCAAGAAACCUCGUUCUUCUCCGUCAUGGCGUAGAACAAUUCCCGCGCUUUUUCCAUUUCCCUUCUCCGUGCAUACCCUGUGAUCAUCGUGUUCCACGACGCCGCGUCCUUGAAUGGAGCCCGAUCGAAAAAGCUCUGAGCUUUCUCGAAGUCUCCGUUACGAACGUAGCAAGACAACAUGAUGUUGUAGGAGAAAGUAUCUGGUUCAGGGAUUUCGUCGAACAGUUGGUGUGCUUCCUUCAAUCUGCUUGGAUCUUUUGAAAUCCCAACGAGCAGGGUGUUCCAGGUGACUGUGUUCUUAGCUCUCAUCCCGUGAAACACUCGGAGAGCUUCGUCUAUAUCUCCGGAACGUACAAAUCUGGCUAUAAUCUUGUUCAACGGGAAGAUUCGGUCUUGGUCACAAGGUUUAGUCGUCGUUUGAAGCGUCAAGUUAUCGGAGCGAACCAGAGAUGGCUCUGGCGAUGAACAAGAGGAAGACAAACAUGAUCCCACCAAAAUGGCAUCUGGGUUUUCUACGGAGCGCAAAAAGAAUCGAAAUUUCCAGCGUUUGAACGUCCGGUGAAUGUUGAACCGAGAAAGCAUUUUUCAUGGUUUAUGACAGAACAAGGAUGAAAAUGUUUAUAAAUCAUACCAAACAAAAAAAACCUAAAUUUGGAAUUUAACACCUAACAAUUGGGAGAAUCUGAGACAGAACUGAGUUCACUCUCAUUGUAAUAAACUGUUGAAUCAUCUUAUUGUUGAGUUAUUUCUAAUAAGAGACUUAUGUUUUAGAUUAAGUCAAUUGUUGUUUGCUAUUUUCUCGUUAGUGGUGGAACUAGUUGAACUAGUUGAGUCAUGUCCUUGUUUUACGGUUGUUUCAGUUAUUGUACUUUCUUUAUAAGGCAUUAAGGCCGAUGGAAUAAGAUCAGAUCAUUCUGAUGCAAUUUGUGAAUCCUUGAAACCAACUUUACAAUUGGUAUCAGAGCAAAAACACAAACGAGUGAUCAAAGAGAGAGCAAAAAAAAGGAGAGAGAGAAGAUGAGCGACGAUAAAACUCUUACCAAAAUUCCUUCAUUCAAUGGUCAUUACAAUCAUUGGAGUGAACUGAUGGAAAAUCUUUUGCGUGCCAAAGGAUUAUGGAAUCUGGUGGAAGAGGGAUUCACAAAACCGUCGGAGGGAGCCGAGAUGACCGCAGCGCAGCGGAAACAAAUCGAGGAACUCAAGGUGAAAGACCAUCAAGUGAAGCACUACCUGUUUCAAGCCAUUGAUCGGGUGGUAUUUCAACAGAUCUUAGAUCGCAGAACAUCCAAGAUCAUCUGGGAGUCAAUGAAGAAAAAGUUCGGAGGCAAUGAACGAGUGAAGAGAUCUCUCCUCCAAACCUUAAGAAGAGACUUUGAGAUUCUUGCAAUGAAGGCUGAUGAAAGCGUGGACGAUUACUUUGGCAGAGUAAUGUCCGUCUCGAACAAAAUGAGAAGUAAUGGAGAGGAUAUGCCAGAUUCGAAGAUUGUGGAGAAGAUACUUCGAACGCUCACUGACAAAUUCACAUACGUGGUGGUGUCAAUUGAGGAGUCCAAAGACACAAGCAGCAUCACCAUCGACAAACUGCAGAGCUCUUUGUCAGUCCAUGAGAAAAAGUUCAAAAGGACCAGCUAUGAGGAAGAUGAUCAAGCUUUCAAUGUCAAAGGCAGAGGAAGGGGAUCCUCCAGGGGUCGAGGCAGAGGGAGAGGUCGCUCCUUCAACAAAGCAUUGAUUGAAUGUUACAAGGGCCACAACCUUGGGCACUUUCAGUAUGAAUGUCCGCAGACAAACAAUGGUGCAAAUUACGCUGAGAUUGAAGAAGAAGAUGAAGUAUUACUGAUGGCGUUUGUUGAACUUCAAGGCACAAGAAGAGAAGAUGCUUGGUUUGUUGACUCUGGAUGCUCAAACCAUAUGUGCGGAGAAAAGGGUAUGUUCUCAAGUCUGGACACUGAUUUUACGCGUAACGUCAAGCUGGGCAACAAUCACAAGCUGAUGGUUGGUGGGAAAGGAGUAGUGAAGAUAACACUUAAAGGCAUCAGCUAUGUGGUUAACGACGUGUAUUAUGUCCCUGAAUUGAAGAAUAAUCUGUUGAGUGUUGGGCAGCUUCAAGAGAAGAGUCUGGAUGUGCUAUUCAAGGGAGGAGAACACAAAACCUGCAGCAUAUUUCAUCCAACAAGGGGAAAGAUAGCUGAGUCUGUCAUGAGUGCUAAUCGGAUGUUCAUUCUGCUGGGAGAAACAAGUGAGAAAAUGAAGGAAGAAAGAUGCCUGCAAGUUAACAUCUCAGACAAAGCUGAACUGUGGCACCAUCGAUAUGGGCAUCUCAGCCACAAAGGACUUCAUACCCUUCACAGCAAAGAGAUGGUUGUGGGUCUACCUGAACUUGCAGAGAUGAAGACCAUUUGUGAAGCCUGUGUCAAAGGGAAGAAGCAUCGUGUACCAUUUCCUAAGCAAAGCAAGUGGAGAGCAACUGAGAAAUUACAGCUUGUCCACUCAGACCUCUGUGGUCCGAUCAUCCCUCCAUCAAACAGUCAUAAGAGGUACCUGAUAAGCUUCAUUGAUGAUUUUUCCAGAAAAACUUGGAUAUACUUUGUGCAAGAGAAGUCCGAAGCAUUUCAAAUGUUCAAGAUAUUCAAAGCACUCGUGGAGAAGCAAACAAGGUUGUUUAUCAAGUGUUUAAGGACAGACAGAGGUGGAGAAUAUAAUUCCAGCGAGUUCAAAGAAUUCUGUAAGGAGAAUGGGAUCAGAAGGCAGCUAACCACAGCUUACACUCCCCAGCAAAAUGGGGUUGCAGAGCGCAAAAACCGAACCAUUAUGAAUAUGGUGAGAGCAGUCUUGAUGGAAAAGGAGGUGCCUAAAUCUUUCUGGCCGGAUGCUGUGCAGUGGGUAAACCAUGUUUUGAACAGGUCUCCCACCUUGAUUGUUAAAGAUGUGACUCCUGAAGAGGCAUGGAGCGGAAGAAAGCCUUCGGUCGAGCACUUCAGAAUCUUCGGAUGCAUCGGGUAUGUUCAUAUCUCCGAUGUAAAAAGGACCAAACUUGAUGAUAAAAGCGCAAAGUGUGUCUUGCUAGGCUUCAGCAGCGAAUCCAAAGCAUACAAGAUGUAUGAUCCAGUGGAGAAAAAGGUUCACAUUAGCCGAGAUGUGCUAUUUCAAGAAGACAAGGGCUGGAAUUGGGAUGUUGCUUAUUCGGGUGAACAGAACAUGGAGCUUGCGUGGGAUGAUCAGUACGAGUGCAGUGAAAAUCAAGAAAUAGAAGAAGAAGAAGCAGAGGUAGCUGAAGAUGAAGCAGAAGAAAGAACUAAUGUUCCUGUGCCAAACAAUCUAACUGCAGACACAUCAACGUCUGCAGGCAGAACAAGGAGACCACCUGUUUGGGCUGCCGACUUUACCUCAGGAGAGGAGCUGUCAGAUAUGGAGGAAGAAGCAAAUAUGGUCAGGGUUGAUAGUCUCGACAGCACAAUCUGACAUUUAUGGCAUUGAUAGUCAGAGGUAGCUGAAGAUGAAGCAGAAGAAAAAACUGAUGUUCUUGUGCCAAACAAUCUAACUGCAGACACAUCAACGUCUGCAGGCAGAACAAGGAGACCACCUGUCUGGGCUGCCGACUUUACCUCAGGAGAGGAGCUGCCGACUUUACCUCAGGAGAGGAGCUAUCAGAUAUAGAAGAAGAAGCAAAUAUGGUCAGGGUUGAUAGUCUCGACAGCACAAAUCUGGCAUUUAUGGCCAUCUCAGAUCCUACGAGCUUUGGAGAAGCAAGUUAUAAAAUGAUUACUUUUAUAACAUCUCAGAAUACGAACAGAAACGAGAAAGGAAGUGAAACUCACUGAAGACUCGAAACCGAUGAUAACAUUAGAAUUGUCUGUCUGAAACAAGUAUCAUAAAUAAGAAAACAACAAACGACUAAAGACUAAAUGGUAGGUAAACAAAGGAAAAAAAGAGUGUAUUGUUGUUUCAAAAGUAAAAAAAAAAACCGGUCAGGCAUAAGCUUGCAUAAAAUCUAAGAAACUGACGACAACUAAAAAUUUACACCUGACAACAAAAGACCGGUAAACAGUAAAUCAUUCAGACUCGAUUUCAGCAGCGGAGGAAAACUGGAACGAGUUUCGAUGUUUUCAUUGGAUGGAUCUUACUUGCCCCCAAGAGAUGGGAACUGAGCAGUAUCUCCAAUGACAGGCGCAGCUUCACUACGGUGGCCACCAAAUCCGCCGCUAGAAGCACCUCCACGGCCACGACCACGACCACCACGUUCACGGCCACCACGACCUCCUCCUCGGUAGUAGUUCUCACCCUCAGCUGGCUUCAGAAACUCAUUGAUGCUCACAGCCUGCAAAUCAGAAACACACAUUCAUAAGCAAAAAAGCUUAUUGACUUCUACAAAAUAUUUUUGAUUCAGAAAACGAUUUGAACCUUUUUGGCCUUCUCUUCUUUGUCAUCUUUGCGUUUGUCCUUGUCAGAACCCUGUGAAAUAGAUCAAAGCAAGGGUCAGAAUCGUCUAAGCAAGUAGAUUCUAUACACGAUAUUGUCUUACCAACUUGAUGAAGAUUUCAUCGUUAGACUUCUUGUUUGAGAGUUGUUGCAUUGAUUCAAACACUUUAGUAUCAACUUUCCUCUCGGAGGUGGUCUGAGAUUGAAGGGCCUUUUUCUUCUCCUCAAGGAUUUUCUCAUACUCAUCCAGAGUCAUUUCCUAAUUCGAAACACAAGCCAAAACACAAUCAAUGUGAAUAACAAGUAAAUACUGGUGAAAGGGCCUAAUAACUACAACACUGAUUUCAAGUUCCAUCAUCUAUUCUCGGCUUACCUUGUUCUCAGGCUCUUUCUCCUCCUCAGCUUCAGCAGUGUUCUCCUUGUUAGCAUCAGCAGCUACAUCAUCACCAGCAGGCUUCUCCACAGCAUUCUUUUCAGUCUCAGCACCAGCUACUUCCUCAGUCUCACUAAAAGAGACAAGAGAAUCUUCUUUUAGUCCAAAUUCCAAAUUCUUAUCACAUAAACCAACACAAAUGUUUUUACAAAAUGCAAUCAAUCCCAAAAACAAAUGCUUACCCAGCAAAGACUUCUUCUCCUGGUGUUCCCCAAUUUCCACGACCAGAUCCUUCACGUUUGAAGUCACCCCUAACCAAAAGAUAAACUUAA
This 24953-nucleotide long non-coding RNA is filed under the name Eutrema salsugineum. Its description in RNAcentral is "long non-coding RNA (ESAL_LNC002135)". Lineage: Eukaryota; Viridiplantae; Streptophyta; Magnoliopsida; Brassicales; Brassicaceae. The record is from RNAcentral.